GAAGAGAGAGUUCAAGAGUACGUGAAACCGCACAGAGUCAAACUGGUGGAUCCGCAGAGUCCGCGCGGGGAAUUCAGCCCGGCAGGCGGGGCCGCGCGCCGGCCGAGAUUCGUCUCGGACCUGGCUGGCGCGCAGGCACUCGCAGGCAGGGUGCACUUUCCCCGGCUAGCGGAAGGCCACGACCGGUUCGGUGGCGGUCAGGAGCCCGGAGGGGAGGUAGCCGUGAUCGGUAUCCGAUCGCGGAACGUACAGCCCUCCGAGGUGGACUCGCCGCUGGACCGAGGAUGCCGCGGUGGCCUCACGCCGCGGGCCGUCCGGGAGCGUUCGACUUUGGCCACGCUGCUCGCAGCGGGUCGAGACCGCGCGCCUGGUACGGGCUCGCGAUCGUGGGUCGCCUAGGGUCAGUGGCGAAUCGGUCGGCAACCCACCAGACCCGUCUUGAAACACGGACCAAGGAGUCUAGCAUGUGCGCGAGUCACGGGGUCUCUCGAAACCCAAGGGCGCAAUGAAAGUGAAGGCCGCCUCCGGCUGGCCCAGGCAAGAUCCCGAGUCGUUCGCGACGAGGGCGCACUGCCGGCCCGUCUCGCUGGCAUCGACCACGAGGCGGAGCAAGAGCGCACACGCUGGGACCCGAAAGAUGGUGAACUAUGCCUGAGUAGGACGAAGUCA
Molecule: ribosomal RNA, 669 nt
Filed under: Dreissena polymorpha
Lineage: Eukaryota; Metazoa; Mollusca; Bivalvia; Myida; Dreissenidae
Description: eukaryotic LSU rRNA
Rfam family: Eukaryotic large subunit ribosomal RNA
Source: RNAcentral